RNAcentral lists this unclassified non-coding RNA (231 nucleotides) under air metagenome. RNAcentral describes it as "partial contains small subunit ribosomal RNA, internal transcribed spacer 1, and 5.8S ribosomal RNA". The stretch from base 1 to 46 matches the Rfam family "Eukaryotic small subunit ribosomal RNA", at positions 1786 to 1831 of the family's 1831-position model. The record is from RNAcentral.
AAGUCGUAACAAGGUCUCCGUUGGUGAACCAGCGGAGGGAUCAUUACCGAGUUAUCAACUCCCAAACCCCUGUGAACAUACCUUUUGUUGCCUCGGCGGGAUCGCCCCGGCGCCUCCGGGCCCGGAUCCAGGCGCCCGCCGCAGGACCCUAAACUCUUGUUUUCUAUAUGAAUCUUCUGAGUGACACAAGCAAAUAAAUUAAAACUUUCAACAACGGAUCUCUUGGUUCUG